This is a long non-coding RNA of Oxyura jamaicensis (ruddy duck), 1728 nucleotides long. RefSeq lists it as uncharacterized. The record is from RefSeq and is a predicted model, not a curated record. The transcript has 2 exons. NCBI's taxonomy places the organism in Eukaryota, Metazoa, Chordata, Aves, Anseriformes, Anatidae.
GCGGUCGCACAGCUGGCACUUGGCGGCGGCGGCGCGGCCCUGCUGGUAGCGCUGCACGAUGGCCUCCAGCAGCCGGUUGCGCUGGAAGCCGCGGAGGCCGCGCUGCUCCAGGGAGGCGCUCCGGUGGCACUGCGGGCAGGUAUCUUUUUCUUUCAUGUGACCUCUGUGCCAAGACUUGGCGUUGACAGCAGGGCUGUGUUUGGGCUACCUCCACCCAGAAACCUCAGCCAUGCAAGAAAUGUUCUCAAAUACCAUUGAUUUCACAGCUGCCUCAUGCUACUACACUGUAAGAAAAAGCUGUGGGUGAAAUGCUGUUACCUUUGUAGUCUCCAUUCUCUGCUUUACCAUCUGUCAGCAGGGGAAGGGAUGUAUAAUAAAGACUUCCUGCAUCUGUAUAGGUGAAUCCAAAUCACAGUUUUCAAGUAUAUGUAGGAAACCACAAUCCUAAGGAAAUUAGGAAGGUACAGUAGCUUUUUAUUUAUUUUUAUUUUUUUUCUCCUGGACUUUUCUUUCUAUACCAGCCUUGUGUGUUAGAUGCCAGUGAUCGUAAUGUGUAAUGGUAAUAGCAACUCUGAGACAUAAAAACAGAACUGGGCAUAUCAGACAGGAAGGGGUGAAAACGAAUGGGUAAAACACCAAACCCUACCAGCACACCUUUACAAGUGCUUUUUAGCCAUGGCUGACAAGUUCCAGACUUCUAAGACAGUGAAUUUUAAAUUUCCAUUUUGACCAUUACUCCACACAGUUUACAUAAAAGUGUAAUAUUGUUUGCCCUUGGCUGCAGAGGAAGAAAGCAUCUCUGAAGUGCCACUGUGAUCAGUCAAACUGAACUUCCCUCCUCCUCUCCACAAGCCCGAUGUGGCCUCAGAGUGUAUAUCCAAAAUAGAUGACAUUGGGAGUGCAAGCCAAAAAAUCGAGCUGGUCUUCCCUGCCCUGUGAUGUGACCAUUAUCUUUUUCCACCUGCUUUAUAAGCUUGUCUCAAACGUCUGUGUCCACGAGAGCUGUCUCCGAGAGAAGGGAGAGCUGUGAGGGCUGGUGUCCCAGCUCAUCUGUCAAAGCAGUGCUGGCUUCUGUAUGAUUGCAGAGGGUGAGCACAGAAACAUGCAGCCACUCGGCACCAUUGGCUGAUGACCAAACAGGCGCCUACGAUUGCUCUACUAACUGCUCUGGGGGGUUUAGGUUGCAGAGCACAGGUUUUCCUCCUCCUGACAAAUGUUCAUCUAUCCAACGGCAGUGAUGAUGGGGGUGAGCAAUCAAGACACCGCUACCAUCUCUGCUGCUUCAGAGGCCAGAACAGAAACUGAUCUAAGCAUUGAAAACUGGCACCAAGCAUGAGUGAUCCCUGCAAACCCUGCUGACUAACUUUGGACACCCUUAGCUUAGCCAAGAAACAGAACCUACUGAUGCUAACUGAUGUUAACUGAUGUUAAUGGAGUUAUUCCUAAAGCUCUGCACAGCCCAAUCAGCCUGAUAGAAUCGGGCCUUUACUAUGUUCUGUAAUCAAGCCAUUCUUAUAACAGAGAUGAUCCCAUUGAUUUUUCCUCUUUUCAUGUUCAAAUGAGUCUUUAAUCUGUUAGAACUGUAACUGCAUAGAAUAACCUAGAAACCCUAUUCUGGCAGUCAUGGCUUUGAUCUUUAUUUUAAUACUUCAGUAUCACUAAUAUCAACCCCUUAAACUAUUUACCCUUUGUAAGAACUCAUUAGCAUCUCUUAUAUCCUCCCGGCAG